Molecule: ribosomal RNA, 207 nt
Filed under: uncultured bacterium
Lineage: Bacteria
Description: partial 16S ribosomal RNA
Rfam family: Bacterial small subunit ribosomal RNA
Source: RNAcentral
CACGCAGGCGGGAAGGAAGGUCGGGUGUGAAAGCCCGGGGCUCAACCCCGGAAUUGCACUCGAAACCGCCCUCCUUGAGUACGGGAGAGGGAAGUGGAAUUCCUGGUGUAGAGGUGAAAUUCGUAGAUAUCAGGAGGAACACCUGUGGCGAAGGCGACUUCCUGGACCAAUACUGACGCUGAGGCGCGAAGGCGUGGGGAGCAAACA